CGGUGGCCAUGGAGAGGACGAAACACCCGUUCCCAUCCCGAACACGGAAGUGAAGGGCCUCAUCGGCGAGGGUACUGCGGGGUUCGCCCGUGGGAGAGUAGCACGCCGCC
Molecule: ribosomal RNA, 110 nt
Filed under: chicken gut metagenome
Source: RNAcentral